This 467-nucleotide ribosomal RNA is filed under the name uncultured bacterium. RNAcentral describes it as "partial 16S ribosomal RNA". It matches the Rfam family "Bacterial small subunit ribosomal RNA", at positions 28 to 507 of the family's 1533-position model. The record is from RNAcentral.
GAUGAACGCUGACAGAAUGCUUAACACAUGCAAGUCAACUUGAAUUUGGGUUUUUAACUUAGGUUCGGGUGGCGGACGGGUGAGUAACGCGUAAAGAACUUGCCUCACAGCUAGGGACAACAUUUGGAAACGAAUGCUAAUACCUAAUAUUAUGAUAAUAGGGCAUCCUAUAAUUAUGAAAGCUAUAAGCGCUGUGAGAGAGCUUUGCGUCCCAUUAGCUAGUUGGAGAGGUAACGGCUCACCAAGGCGAUGAUGGGUAGCCGGCCUGAGAGGGUGAUCGGCCACAAGGGGACUGAGACACGGCCCUUACUCCUACGGGAGGCAGCAGUGGGGAAUAUUGGACAAUGGACCGAGAGUCUGAUCCAGCAAUUCUGUGUGCACGAUGAAGUUUUUCGGAAUGUAAAGUGCUUUCAGUUGGGAAGAAACAAAUGACGGUACCAACAGAAGAAGUGACGGCUAAAUACGUG